CCUACGGGAGGCAGCAGUGGGGAAUAUUGGGCAAUGGAGGAAACUCUGACCCAGCGACGCCGCGUGCGGGAUGAAGGCCUUCGGGUUGUAAACCGCUUUCAGUAGGGAAGAAGCGAAAGUGACGGUACCUACAAAAGAAGCACCGGCUAACUAUGUGCCAGCAGCCGCGGUAAUACAUAGGGUGCAAGCGUUGUCCGGAAUUAUUGGGCGUAAAGAGCUCGUAGGUCGUUUGUUACGUCGGAUGUGAAAACCUGAGGCUCAACCUCAGGCCUGCAUUCGAUACGGGCAAACUAGAGUUUGGUAGGGGAGACUGGAAUUCCUGGUGUAGCGGUGGAAUGCGCAGAUAUCAGGAGGAACACCAAUGGCGAAGGCAGGUCUCUGGGCCAAUACUGACACUGAGGAGCGAAAGUCUGGGGAGCGAACAGGAUUAGAUACCCUGGUAGUCCAGACCGUAAACGGUGGGCACUAGUUGUGGGAACCUUCCACGGUUUCUGCGACGCNGCUACGCAUAGUGCCCGCCGUCGGGAGGUACGAGUCGCGAGAAGUAAACUACGAAAGAAGUAGUAACGGUCGUGAGAGUGCCGACGGACGACGACGAGGGAGGAGG
RNAcentral lists this ribosomal RNA (607 nucleotides) under uncultured bacterium. Its description in RNAcentral is "bacterial SSU rRNA". The stretch from base 1 to 520 matches the Rfam family "Bacterial small subunit ribosomal RNA", at positions 338 to 873 of the family's 1533-position model. The record is from RNAcentral.